AGUUCCUCAUCUGGACUCACUGGGAGAAGUGAUUCACUAGAAUUCUCAUUGGAAGAAAUGACAGGAAAGCUCCCUCCAAUAUCUCAAUUUCCACCCCACUCAGUACCUGGUUUUAUGAUUCCACACCCUCCUAAUCCAUCCUGCCCUCCUAACACAUCCCACUCUCGUAAGCCAUCCCACUCUCGUGCCCGCGAAUCCCUCCCUCUUCUUCCAUCUGCCAAGCCCCUUCCUCCUCUCCAGAAGUACGUGGAUUUUUCAGUUUUCUGCCCUAACUGUUAUCCCACUGUGGCUCAUACCUGCCCUCCCCACUACCCUACCCUAAUACUCUACCUGCACUGCUCUUCUGCUAUUCAUUACAAACCAUCCAUUUGUCAAUGCUCUAGUCCCAGAACUCUUUCUGGUAACUCCCUUAUCGAUCACCCUAGCCCUCCUUCUAGCCCUACUGGUCAACGCUUGGGUCCCAGAACUCUUCCCUGUGAUUCCCUUAUCCGUUCUCCUGUUCCUCCUCCUAGCCCUCCUUGCCAACGCUCUGGUCCCAGAACUCUUUUCUGUGACUACCCUGUCUGUCCCCCUACUCCUCCUCCCAGCCCUACUUGCAAAUGCUGUCGUCCCAGAGCUGUUUCCUGGGACUCCUCUACCUAUGCCUCUACCCCUCCUCCUUAGCCCUACUUCUUUCUAGUACCCUGUACUCUAGUCCCCAGCCCCCAGCCCUGCCAUCCCCAACCAGACCUUAUGGUUCACAAGUCUCAUCUUGGAGAUGGUUUCCCUGCUCCCGGGGCAGUUCUGGAACAGUUCAGGAUGGCCAGGACUGUGGAUUCCCAGCAGUCUGACCUCGUGGACAAAGGAAAUGCAAGACGAUGGCAAACCAGCAUUCAGCCUCAUCUGCUCCUUUCCUCCCCUGCCUCAUCAGCCAGCCUGCAUGAGCCUCUACAUUUGUUCCUGGCUUCUCCAUGGAACUCGGUCUACAGCCACAAAGCAAACCACAGGGCCAGUGACAGAGAAGGCAGAGGGGAGUGUGGAGUGGGAAGCACCUAACCUGUUCUCAAGGAGGGGAAUGAUUGGCCAAGAUGAGUUUCAAUCGUAUGUCCACUACCUCCUGGCCUGCCACUUGGCUGUGAGUCCUUUCUGGGCGGUGUCCAGGGGCGGUUCCAGUGAUCAGGCAGGUGCUGAGAAGCACAGGCAGGAUGAGGGGAUACUUGCCAGGAGACAGCAUGGGAUGCCAUUGCCUAGAGUUGGCAGAAGGACCAGGAGCAGGCAGGCAGCGAGAGAACACCCAGAGUGCUCCUGAUCGGACCAAGCUGCAUGGAGGCCACAAUGGGACACCUGAGGGAAAAGGUGACCCCAGAUGAGGUCCAUCGGAACCAGAUAUUGUGGGAACUGUCAAACCAGACCAAGAAGUAUGGAGGCCACAGAGGGACACCCCAGGGAGGUGACCCUGGAUGAGGUUCAUCAGAACUAGAUCUUGUGAGAACUACCUGACCAGACCAAGCAGCACAGAGGCCACGGUGAGACACCUGA
Molecule: long non-coding RNA, 1518 nt
Filed under: Homo sapiens (human)
Lineage: Eukaryota; Metazoa; Chordata; Mammalia; Primates; Hominidae
Description: non-protein coding LINC00442:3
Source: RNAcentral